AUUCAUAAGUAAUAAUCAGAAGUGAUGAUUGGGUGUUCACGCUGCUGCGUGACAUGUGCCUCCCUCACAAACCUUGUUACGACAUCGGCACAUUACCUGUCUGACG
RNAcentral lists this small nucleolar RNA (106 nucleotides) under Cervus hanglu yarkandensis (Yarkand deer). RNAcentral's name for it is "Small nucleolar RNA U13 (ENSCHYG00000000037.1)". It matches the Rfam family "Small nucleolar RNA U13". The record is from Rfam by way of RNAcentral. Lineage: Eukaryota; Metazoa; Chordata; Mammalia; Artiodactyla; Cervidae.